UACGUAGGGUGCAAGCGUUAUCCGGAAUUAUUGGGCGUAAAGAGCUCGUAGGCGGCUUGUCACGUCGGGUGUGAAAGCCCGGGGCUUAACCCCGGGUCUGCAUUCGAUACGGGCAGGCUAGAGUGUGGUAGGGGAGAUCGGAAUUCCUGGUGUAGCGGUGAAAUGCGCAGAUAUCAGGAGGAACACCGGUGGCGAAGGCGGAUCUCUGGGCCAUUACUGACGCUGAGGAGCGAAAGCGUGGGGAGCGAACAGG
Molecule: ribosomal RNA, 253 nt
Filed under: uncultured bacterium
Lineage: Bacteria
Description: partial 16S ribosomal RNA
Rfam family: Bacterial small subunit ribosomal RNA
Source: RNAcentral